Molecule: non-coding RNA, 123 nt
Organism: Triticum urartu
Lineage: Eukaryota; Viridiplantae; Streptophyta; Magnoliopsida; Poales; Poaceae
Source: Rfam
AUCAUACUCCCUCCGUCCGGAAAUACUUGUCCUCAAAAUGGUUGUAUCUAGACUUAUUUUAGUUGUAGAUACAUUCAUUUUAUCCUUUUUAAGACAAAUAUUUACGGAUGGAGGGAGUACGAA